Molecule: ribosomal RNA, 497 nt
Filed under: uncultured bacterium
Lineage: Bacteria
Description: partial 16S ribosomal RNA
Rfam family: Bacterial small subunit ribosomal RNA
Source: RNAcentral
GAUGAACGCUGGCGGCGUGCCUAAUACAUGCAAGUCGAGCGAACAGAUGAGGAGCUUGCUCCUCUGACGUUAGCGGCGGACGUGUGAGUAACACGUGGAUAACCUACCUAUAAUACUUGGAUAACUUCGGGAAACCGGAUCUAAUACCGGAUAAUAUAUUGAACCGCAUGGUUCAAUAGUUAAAUACGGUUUUUCUUUCUCUUAUAGAUUGUUCCGCGCCGCAUUAGCUAGUUGGUAAGGUAACGGCUUACCAAGGCAACGAUGCGUAGCCGAACUGAGAGGGUGAUCGGCCACACUGGAACUGAGACACGGACCAGACUACUACGGGAGGCAGCAGAAGGGAAUGGGACGCAAUGGGCGAAAGCAUGACGGAGCAAAGCCGAGUGAGUGAUGAAGGUCUUCGGAUCGUAAAACUCUGUUAUGAGGGAAGAAAAAAUGUGUAAGUAAAUAUGCACGUAUUGACGGUAACUAAUCAGAAAGCCACGGCUAACUACGUG